Molecule: non-coding RNA, 74 nt
Organism: Crenichthys baileyi (White River springfish)
Lineage: Eukaryota; Metazoa; Chordata; Actinopteri; Cyprinodontiformes; Goodeidae
Source: the annotation of a GenBank genome assembly
UGCGAAAUAGCUCAGUUGGGAGAGGCGUCAGACUGAAGAUCUGAAGGUCCCUGGGUUCAAUCCCGGUUUGGCAA